This 253-nucleotide ribosomal RNA is filed under the name uncultured bacterium. RNAcentral's name for it is "partial 16S ribosomal RNA". It matches the Rfam family "Bacterial small subunit ribosomal RNA", at positions 524 to 776 of the family's 1533-position model. The record is from RNAcentral.
UACGAAGGGAGCUAGCGUUGUUCGGAAUCACUGGGCGUAAAGCGCACGUAGGCGGAUGUGUCAGUCAGGGGUGAAAUCCCGGAGCUCAACUUCGGAACUGCCUUUGAUGCAGCACGUCUUGAGUCCGAUAGAGGUGGGUGGAAUUCCUAGUGUAGAGGUGAAAUUCGUAGAUAUUAGGAAGAACACCGGUGGCGAAGGCGGCCCACUGGAUCGGUACUGACGCUGAGGUGCGAAAGCGUGGGGAGCAAACAGG